RNAcentral lists this long non-coding RNA (220 nucleotides) under Lathyrus oleraceus (garden pea). RNAcentral's name for it is "Pisum sativum (pea) long non-coding RNA (PSAT_LNC028675)". The record is from RNAcentral. Lineage: Eukaryota; Viridiplantae; Streptophyta; Magnoliopsida; Fabales; Fabaceae.
UUUUUUUUGUUUUUUUUUCCAGGAAAAAUGAAGGGUAAAUUUUGGGGUAUUACAGCUGCCCCUAUUCAAUCAACUGGAGACCUGGAAAGAAGAUGGCAGCUGCUUUCGUACUUUCGAGGUAUCAAGGGAUUGAAUACAAUAAAAGCCCAAAAAUUUGCACUGAAGUGAAGUGAAGUGACAAUGCCUAUCAGAAUCGGCAAAGAGGUGGCCUUGAAAGAAG